CCAGAGAACUUAGCAGAGAUGCUUUGGUGCCUUCGGGAACUCUGAGACAGGUGCUGCAUGGCUGUCGUCAGCUCGUGUUGUGAAAUGUUGGGUUAAGUCCCGCAACGAGCGCAACCCUUAUCCUUUGUUGCCAGCGGCUCGGCCGGGAACUCAAAGGAGACUGCCGGUGAUAAACCGGAGGAAGGUGGGGAUGACGUCAAGUCAUCAUGGCCCUUACGGCCAGGGCUACACACGUGCUACAAUGGCGCAUACAAAGAGAAGCGACCUCGCGAGAGCAAGCGGACCUCAUAAAGUGCGUCGUAGUCCGGAUUGGAGUCUGCAACUCGACUCCAUGAAGUCGGAAUCGCUAGUAAUCGUAGAUCAGAAUGCUACGGUGAAUACGUCCCCGGGCCUUGUACACACCGCCCGUCACACCAUGGGAGUGGGUUGCAAAAGAAGUAGGUAGCUUAACCUUCGGGAGGGCGCUUACCACUUUGUGAUUCAUGACUGGGGUGAAGUCGUAACAAGGUAAGCGUAGUGCU
Molecule: ribosomal RNA, 521 nt
Filed under: uncultured bacterium
Lineage: Bacteria
Description: bacterial SSU rRNA
Rfam family: Bacterial small subunit ribosomal RNA
Source: RNAcentral